CCUACGGGUGGCUGCAGUGGGGAAUAUUGGACAAUGGGCGAAAGCCUGAUCCAGCCAUGCCGCGUGUGUGAAGAAGGCCUUCGGGUUGUAAAGCACUUUCAGUGGGGAAGAAAGCCUUGGGGCUAAUACCCUCGAGGAGGGACAUCACCCACAGAAGAAGCACCGGCUAACUCCGUGCCAGCAGCCGCGGUAAUACGGAGGGUGCGAGCGUUAAUCGGAAUUACUGGGCGUAAAGCGCGCGUAGGCGGUCUGAUAAGCCGGUUGUGAAAGCCCCGGGCUCAACCUGGGAACGGCAUCCGGAACUGUCAGGCUAGAGUGCAGGAGAGGAAGGUAGAAUUCCCGGUGUAGCGGUGAAAUGCGUAGAGAUCGGGAGGAAUAUCAGUGGCGAAGGCGGCCUUCUGGACUGACACUGACGCUGAGGUGCGAAAGCGUGGGUAGCAAACAGGAUUAGAUACCCGGGUAGUC
RNAcentral lists this ribosomal RNA (465 nucleotides) under Vreelandella stevensii. RNAcentral describes it as "partial 16S ribosomal RNA". It matches the Rfam family "Bacterial small subunit ribosomal RNA", at positions 338 to 795 of the family's 1533-position model. The record is from RNAcentral. Lineage: Bacteria; Pseudomonadati; Pseudomonadota; Gammaproteobacteria; Oceanospirillales; Halomonadaceae.